UUUCUCAGGAGGGCUUUGUGUAUGAAAUGGAGAGAUGGUCGUUAGAGUGAGACGGUCCUUCCCAUUCUGCUGUCUACACCCGAGGCCAUUUUUCUUUGAGGGCUAAAUGAUCGGGAUAUGUAGGAAGGUCCCUGCUUUCAGAGAGGCGCACUGCGCCCACACUUGGGGAGAGCACAGGGUUUAUGUAACCUGUGAGGAAGGACACCCAGGUGAACCUGACAGGCCAGUGUGGUAACUCUCCAUCUUGUGUACAGAGAAAAGAGCAGAAGCAGUAUCUAACACCAAGCCAUCUGCCAACAUUCUUGUAAGACUGUUCCAGGCAGUGAAUUUCCACAUUGUUUCUUUGACCUGCUGAACCCAAAGCACCAAAACAGAGCAUUCUGUAGCAAUAUGAGCAACGGAAUGAAAGUAAUUUUGCACCUUUAAGGAACAUGCACCCUUAUAAAUCUGUACCCUGAUAUUAAAAUAGCAGAAUGAGUUUCAAGUAUGAAGAAAUACAGUAAAAGUAUAGCCUGUAGAUGAAUAGAAAACAGCAGCCUGGAACAUGGUUUAUAUUCUUCAUUAGUUUUUCUCUUUGUACACAGCCAAAACUGAAUGCUCUGUAGAAUGACUUGAUUUAAAAAUCAAGAUACAGAUGAAGAUGCUAGAGGGCAUUUGUGAUUGAAUGUUGUGAGUGUAUUCUGUGCCGAGCACCAGGAAUCUUCUCUUGAUGACUGUGGCCAGCCAAAAGUCAAGUAGGGGUAGUGGCUAAGCCUGAGCAGGCACACCUGUGAUGCCCAAAGCAUCUCUCCUCAUGUCCCCGACGCCCAAGGAGCGGCAGAGGAGGAUGGAGAGCGCCACGUGGACAGGUCAGAAUGAGGGUAGGGAGCACUUCAGAGGGAGGGAGGAAAGGAUGCACAUGUACAAUCUCCAUACCUCCAGAACUGUGAUUUCAAACAGAGAAACCCACAAGUCAAAUGUUCAAAUUAAGAUUUUUUUCCUACCUUUAAAACAUUUUCUAAGUUAAAAAAAAAAAAAAAGCUCACUGGGUGUGACAGCCUUGCUGAAGCCUAGAAGAAAGUUUUAACUAGGCCCUAUGGGAACGCAGAAACAGAAAUACAUUUUACAGUGAAAACGUGCUUUUACACAUCUCAAAAAUGACAAUCCUAUAAAAUCCUCUAGUUCUAAUCUGCACUUUACGGGAACUGAUAUUGUGCUUUUCUUAACACAUACUGCUCUUCUAUACCAAACACUUGCUGUUUAACCCUCAGAUCAAAACCUAAAAUACCAGAAAUGCAACAAGCUUUUGAGGUGUUGGGGACUGUUAGUUGUUAAAAUCCCAUUGUUGACUAUUGUACACGCAAUCCUUGUUUUUAUUACCAGACUGUACUGCUUCUGUACAAAACCAAGUUGCUUGAAGCACAGAAACUUGGACUUCUCCAUCUAACACGUUCUGGAAGCCUCAAGGCACAAGCUGACAGUUCUGCUUCUACAGGAAACUCUCACACUGCUCUCCUGUCAACAGGACCACCUAUUGCUGCCACUGCACACAACACCUCCAAGGGCACUAAAGCGCUCAGGAGAACCACUUCUCAAGGCCAGACCAGAGGCUCCGCCCAGGCACCUGUCUCUGCCCGGCCUCUACUCUAGUGGCCAUCUGGUAGAGUUCCUAAAUUAAGGCAGUAUCUGAUGCUUUUCUAUCUGUAGUUUUUAUUUUUGCUGUAUUUUAACACUAUACUAUAUGCAUAUUUGACAAAAGAACAACUACAAAAUACUUUGCUUUAAUUCCUUUACAUAAUGAUAAAACACCUAAACACAAAAACACUACAUCUAUAGACUUAAAUUCUACUAAUCACGUUAAACUGCAUGCAGCUUAUUUGGGGGCUUAGUCUAAUUUUAAUUUUCUUAGCUCCAUCAAGAUCAUGAUAAUGAAUGUUAAAUUCAAGUCCUAAUGCGGUUUGCCUUCAGUUGCACUUUCACAGGACUAGUGUGCUUCAGAAAUAAAUAAUAUACAUGAAUAAUAAUAGAAAUAAUUUAUGCAAAUGUAGAACAAUUGAAAUAGACAUUCCCCACCUUGUUAAGUGCUCAUCCUAGGGGUAGUUGAUGCUAUUGAUUUCAUGUACUAACUAAUACAUUUAUUACUGGUCAUAGGAAAAUAAAUGAACACAAAGUAAGUGAGGAAAUAUGAUAUUCACGUGUACAUUGUUGCAAACACAGGACCAAAAUGAGAAGAUAUAUAACACACUUGGGGGCUUCAAGAAAUGUAUUACGGCUGGGAUCUAUUUUCAUUAUUCAGAGACUUCAAAGUUGCUGGUGAUCACAGAAAUAUUGCUAGCUAGUACAUAUUAUUGCAUUUCAUAAAACUUAAGAUUAGAAACUUUCAAGUAAGGGCAAAGGGUAUCUUCAGGACUGUAACCUAAGCACAUCAAUGGAAUUUGGAUAGAAACCACAGAGAGUUAGAAAUUAAGUGUGUGGUCUAUGCUUGCUGAUUAGUGCUACAGUCAUAGUUCUUGGUAGCAACACAUACUGUUAUGUGCCCUCUUUAAAAAAACCUACAUUUGACAAUCCAGACUACUAAAAUAGAGAAGGGGUUGAUUAUCUGCUUGAAGAAACAACUCACACAAAAGCUUCCUCUAAAUAGGAGAAUUCCGUACUACGUGAGAUAAUUUGCUUACAUACCUUUAAUUACUUGACAAAGAAAAACGAGAAGGAAGAAAUUAGAAACUAAAGAAUUAGGAGCUUUUGCCACUGAGGAUGAAGCAGAAAAUAAAAUUUCCAAACAAAAAUUUCCAGGCAUAUUUUUUGCCAUCAUAUAUGUAGAAUGAUAGAAAAUAAAAAAAUAAAAACAUCUUCCCUGUAAUUAUACAUCUUCUCUUAAGAAAAAAAAAAAAAAGCUGAGCUUAGAGCUUGAGAGAUGC
Molecule: long non-coding RNA, 2897 nt
Organism: Equus caballus (horse)
Lineage: Eukaryota; Metazoa; Chordata; Mammalia; Perissodactyla; Equidae
Source: Ensembl